Molecule: long non-coding RNA, 616 nt
Organism: Mesocricetus auratus (golden hamster)
Lineage: Eukaryota; Metazoa; Chordata; Mammalia; Rodentia; Cricetidae
Exons: 3
Source: RefSeq, a predicted model, not a curated record
UGUGGCUGACACACUAGAUCGGGUGCAGAUGUUGCUGGAGACUCUGCUUUCUUGCAUCCUGCUUGGAAAAAGUAACCGGCACACUGGACAAGGGAGCAUAAGCCUAUAAUACCAGUGCUGUCAAUUAUGCCAAUUAUUAUGCAAAUGAUGUCCUUCUGCUCAAAUGUGUCUCUGGAAACAAAGGGACUGAACUGGAUCUGAGGAGUAUGGAUGGAAAAUAAUCCUGUGGUUUAGAUGCCUUGAAGUGAGCCACUUACUCCACCAGCCACCCCAACCAACACAAGUCCUCCUUCACAUAGGUCCAAAGACAACAGAGCAUGGACUAAAACUUCCAAAGAUGGCCUGCUUAAAUCAUAAAAUGGAGGAAAGCCCUGCUCCAGGAACUCCAGCUGACUCCCACUCUUCUACAGCUUCCAUGGACUGAGAGUGGCUUUGCUAUCUGGAUAAUGAGAAAUCCAGAAAGCAGUGAGCAUAACCUCUUUCUGGACAGAUGGAUGGACGGGCAGGUGGAAUUCUGUGAGAGCUGUAGCUGGACAUGGAUUCUCAGGUUGGAGCAGAUCCUCAUACAGAUCCUGUAUCUUGAACCUCUACCCAGCUUGUGACUUCCUUCUAUAAA